CCGUGAGGGAAAGGUGAAAAGCACCCCGGGAGGGGAGUGAAAGAGUUCCUGAAACCGUGCGCCUACAAUCCGUCGGAGCCUCCCUGGUGGGGUGACGGCGUGCCUAUCGAAAAAUGAGUCUGCGAGUCAGUGGUGCGUGGCGAGGCUAACCCGUGGUGGGGGAGUCGUAGCGAAGGCGAGUCUCAAAAGGCGUUUUGAGUCGCGCGCCCUGGACCCGAAGCGGGAUGAUCUAGCCCUGGGCAGGUUGAAGCGCGGGUAAGACCGCGUGGAGGACCGAACCCACCUGGGUUGAAAACCGGGGGGAUGACCUGGGGCUAGGGGUGAAAGGCCAAUCAAAUUCCGUGAUAGCUGGUUCUCUCCGAAAUGCAUUUAGGUGCAGCGUCGGUUGAUUGCAUCGCGGGGGUAGAGCUACUGGAUGCUUGCGGGCCCGUAUGGGGUACCAAUAGCAGCCAAACUCCGAAUACCGUGGAUGUGUAUUCCGGCAGUGAGUCGGCGGGGGAUAAGCUCCGUCGUCGAGAGGGAGACAGCCCAGAUCGUCGUCUAAGGUCCCGAAGCGUGUGCUAAGUGGGAAAGGAUGUGGAGUCGCAUAGACAGCCAGGAGGUUGGCUCAGAAGCAGCCAUCCUUGAAAGAGUGCGUAACAGCUCACUGGUCUAGUGGUUCCGCGCCGACAAUGUAGCGGGGCUCAAGCACACCACCGAAGACGCGGCAGCACUUUUUGGUGCUGGGUAGGAGAGCGUCCCAUGAGGGGCGAAGCGGCCGUGUGAACGCGCCGUGGACUUCAUGGGAGUGAGAAUGCAGACAUGAGUAGCGAGAGACGGGUGAGGAUCCCGUCCGCUGGAUGACCAAGGGUUCCGGGGCCACGUUCGUCGUCCCCGGGUGAGUCGGGUCCUAAGGCGAGGCCGACAGGCGUAGUCGAAUGGAUGAACGGGUGGAUAUUCCCGUACCGGCGGCGUACCGUAAGAGCCGAACGGAUGAGUACUAACCUCCGGUCGCGUGGCGUCGUUCCCUUCGGGGUUCGGGGUCCGCGGUCGUUGGGAGCGUAGUCCUGGUAGGCUAGCGCACAGGGGUGACACGGAAUGGGAGCCGGCCGCGGAGGUGGUUUUCCGUGGUCAAGCACGCAGCCCGUCCCAUAGGCAAAUCCGUGGGGCAUGUAGGGUGAGGUGUGAUGAUGGGCGUCUUUAUGGCGCGAUAUCCGGUGGUCCAGGCCGUCGAGAAAAGCCUCGGCGCGAGGGGCGUCGCCGCCCGUACCCCAAACCGACACUGGUGGUCAGGUAGAGAAUACCAAGGCGAUCGAGCGAAUCCUGGUCAAGGAACUCGGCAAAUCACUCCCGUGCCUUCGGUAUAAGGGAGACCCCCGGGCGUGAAGAGGCUUGCCCUCGGAGCGUUGGGGGGUGGCACAGACCAGGGGGUAGCGACUGUUUACCAAAAACACAGGUGCAUGCGAAGGCGCAAGCCGCUGUAUAUGCACUGACGCCUGCCCGGUGCCGGAAGGUUAAGAGGAUCCGUCAGCCCCUUUUGGGGUGAAGCGGUGAAUUCAAGCCCCGGUAAACGGCGGUGGUAACUAUAACCAUCCUAAGGUAGCGAAAUUCCUUGUCGGGUAAGUUCCGACCUGCACGAAUGGCGUAACGACUUCCCCACUGUCUCGACCAGGAGCUCGGCGAAAUUGCAGUACGAGUAAAGAUGCUCGUUAAGCGCAGAAGGACGAAAAGACCCCGGGACCUUUACUAUACCUUGGUAUUGGCGUUAGGCGCGGAUUGUGUAGCAUAGGCGGGAGGCUUCGAAGCGCGGGCGCCAGCCCGUGUGGAGCCGCAAGGUGAAAUACCGCUCUGUUCUCGUUUGACGUCUAACCUCGAACAGUCAUCCUGUUCAGGGACAGUGCCUGGCGGGUAGUUUAACUGGGGCGGUUGCCUCCCAAAGAGUAACGGAGGCGCUCAAAGGUCCGCUCAGCCCGGUUGGCAAUCGGGUUUCGAGUGUAAUCGCACAAGCGGGCUUGACUGCGAGAACGACGGUUCGGGCAGGGACGAAAGUCGGAGAUAGUGAUCCGGUGCCGGCGCACGGGCGCGGCAUCGCUCAACGGAUAAAAGGUACCCCGGGGAUAACAGGCUGAUCAUUCCCAAGAGUCCAUAUCGACGGGAUGGUUUGGCACCUCGAUGUCGGCUCGUCGCAUCCUGGGGCUGGAGCAGGUCCCAAGGGUUCGGCUGUUCGCCGAUUAAAGCGGCACGCGAGCUGGGUUCAGAACGUCGUGAGACAGUUUGGUCUCUAUCCUCUGCGCUCGUUGGAAUCCUGAGGAGGCC
RNAcentral lists this ribosomal RNA (2295 nucleotides) under human gut metagenome. Its description in RNAcentral is "bacterial LSU rRNA". It matches the Rfam family "Bacterial large subunit ribosomal RNA", at positions 501 to 2672 of the family's 2925-position model. The record is from RNAcentral.